RNAcentral lists this ribosomal RNA (506 nucleotides) under Pseudomonas plecoglossicida. RNAcentral describes it as "bacterial SSU rRNA". It matches the Rfam family "Bacterial small subunit ribosomal RNA", at positions 74 to 576 of the family's 1533-position model. Lineage: Bacteria; Pseudomonadati; Pseudomonadota; Gammaproteobacteria; Pseudomonadales; Pseudomonadaceae. The record is from RNAcentral.
GGGAGCUUGCUCCUUGAUUCAGCGGCGGACGGGUGAGUAAUGCCUAGGAAUCUGCCUGGUAGUGGGGGACAACGUUUCGAAAGGAACGCUAAUACCGCAUACGUCCUACGGGAGAAAGCAGGGGACCUUCGGGCCUUGCGCUAUCAGAUGAGCCUAGGUCGGAUUAGCUAGUUGGUGGGGUAAUGGCUCACCAAGGCGACGAUCCGUAACUGGUCUGAGAGGAUGAUCAGUCACACUGGAACUGAGACACGGUCCAGACUCCUACGGGAGGCAGCAGUGGGGAAUAUUGGACAAUGGGCGAAAGCCUGAUCCAGCCAUGCCGCGUGUGUGAAGAAGGUCUUCGGAUUGUAAAGCACUUUAAGUUGGGAGGAAGGGCAGUAAGCUAAUACCUUGCUGUUUUGACGUUACCGACAGAAUAAGCACCGGCUAACUCUGUGCCAGCAGCCGCGGUAAUACAGAGGGUGCAAGCGUUAAUCGGAAUUACUGGGCGUAAAGCGCGCGUAGGU